This 412-nucleotide ribosomal RNA is filed under the name uncultured bacterium. Its description in RNAcentral is "bacterial SSU rRNA". It matches the Rfam family "Bacterial small subunit ribosomal RNA", at positions 29 to 422 of the family's 1533-position model. The record is from RNAcentral.
AACGAACGCUAGCGGCGUGCCUAACACAUGCAAGUCGAGCGAGAAAAGACUUCGGUCUAAGUAAAGCGGCGCACGGGUGAGUAACACGUGGGUAACGUACCCUCGGGUGGGGAGUAACAGACCGAAAGGUUUAGUCUAAUACCGCAUCAGACCACAGUCCUCGCGGGGACGAGGGUCGAAAGGGGCGUGUCGCAAGGCAGCUCUCGCCUGAGGAUCGGCCCGCGGACCAUUAGCUAGUUGGUAGGGUAACGGCCUACCAAGGCUACGAUGGUUAGCUGGUCUGAGAGGACGAUCAGCCACACUGGGACGUGGAACACGGCCCAGACUCCUACGGGAGGCAGCAGUGGGGAAUAUUGCGCAAUGGGCGAAAGCCUGACGCAGCAACGCCGCGUGGGUGAAGAAGGCCUCGUGU